CAAAUCCUUUGCAGACGACUUAGCUGUGCGAAACGGUCCUGUAAGCAGUAGAGUAGCCUUGUUGUUACGAUCUGCUGAGGGUAAGCCGUCCUUCGCCUCGAUUUCCCCAAUGGGUUCUC
Molecule: ribosomal RNA, 119 nt
Filed under: Fusarium sp. FBHL50
Lineage: Eukaryota; Fungi; Ascomycota; Sordariomycetes; Hypocreales; Nectriaceae
Description: partial 28S ribosomal RNA
Rfam family: Eukaryotic large subunit ribosomal RNA (bases 1-106)
Source: RNAcentral